AGGUCCAGCCUGCCCAGUGACCAUGUUCAACGGCCGCGGUAUCCUAACCGUGCGAAGGUAGCGUAAUCACUUGUUCUUUAAAUGUGGACUAGUAUGAAUGGCACCACGAAGGUUAUACUGUCUCCUUUUUCUAAUCAGUGAAACUAAUCUUCCCGUGAAGAAGCGGGAAUAUAUUUAUAAGACGAGAAGACCCUAUGGAGCUUUAAACAACACAGCAAUUACCUACUAAACUAUUAAGUUUCUGAAUAUUAACACUUUUAAGUAAUCUGACUGUAAGUUUUUGGUUGGGGUGACCACGGAGCAUAACACAACCUCCAUGCUGAAAGAACUCUUUCUAAGCUAAGAACAACCCAUCUAAGCAUCAAUAUAUUGACAUUCAUUGACCCAAUUCAUUUGACCAACGAACCAAGUUACCCUAGGGAUAACAGCGCAAUCCGCUUCAAGAGCUCCUAUCGACAAGUGGGUUUACGACCUCGAUGUUGGAUCAGGGUAUCCCAGUGGUGCAGCCGCUACUAAAGGUUCGUUUGUUCAACGAUUAAAACCCU
Molecule: ribosomal RNA, 545 nt
Filed under: Rhinella horribilis
Lineage: Eukaryota; Metazoa; Chordata; Amphibia; Anura; Bufonidae
Description: partial 16S large subunit ribosomal RNA
Rfam family: Bacterial large subunit ribosomal RNA
Source: RNAcentral